Gopherus flavomarginatus (Mexican gopher tortoise) is the source of this 407-nucleotide long non-coding RNA. RefSeq lists it as uncharacterized. NCBI's taxonomy places the organism in Eukaryota, Metazoa, Chordata, Testudines, Testudinidae. The transcript is spliced from 3 exons. The record is from RefSeq and is a predicted model, not a curated record.
CCUCCAAGCAGGUAUCCAGCCCUGCGGUUUGCUCUGGCGUUCCCCGACCCCCCCUCCAAGCAGGUCUCCUUCCCCGCGGUGUGCUCUGGCGUUCCCCGACCCCCCCUCCAAGCCGGUCUCCUUCCCCGUGGUGUGCUCUGGCGUUCCCCGACCCCCCCUCCAAGCAGGUAUCCAGCCCCGCGGUGUGCUCUGGCGUUCCCCGACCCCCCCUCCAAGCAGGUAUCCAGCCCCGCGGUGUGCUCUGGCGUUCCCCGACCCCCCCUCCAAGCAGGUCUCCUUCCCCGCGGUUUGCUCUGGCGUUCCCCGACCCCCCCUCCAAGCAGGUCUCCUUCCCCGCGGUGUGCUCUGGCGUUCCCCGACCCCCCCCUCCAAGCAGGUCUCCUUCCCCGCGGUGUGCUCUGGCGUUC